This 449-nucleotide ribosomal RNA is filed under the name uncultured bacterium. Its description in RNAcentral is "partial 16S ribosomal RNA". It matches the Rfam family "Bacterial small subunit ribosomal RNA", at positions 354 to 796 of the family's 1533-position model. The record is from RNAcentral.
GUGGGGAAUAUUGGACAAUGGGCGCAAGCCUGAUCCAGCCAUACCGCGUGUGUGAAGAAGGUCUUCGGAUUGUAAAGCACUUUAAGUUGGGAGGAAGGGCAGUAAGUUAAUACCUUGCUGUUUUGACGUUACCGACAGAAUAAGCACCGGCUAACUUCGUGCCAGCAGCCGCGGUAAUACGAAGGGUGCAAGCGUUAAUCGGAAUUACUGGGCGUAAAGCGCGCGUAGGUGGUUUUGUAAGUUGGAGGUGAAAUCCCCGGGCUCAACCUGGGAACUGCCUCCAAAACUGCAUGACUAGAGUACGGUAGAGGGUAGUGGAAUUUCCUGUGUAGCGGUGAAAUGCGUAGAUAUAGGAAGGAACACCAGUGGCGAAGGCGACUACCUGGACUGAUACUGACACUGAGGUGCGAAAGCGUGGGGAGCAAACAGGAUUAGAAACCCGUGAGUCC